RNAcentral lists this ribosomal RNA (403 nucleotides) under uncultured bacterium. Its description in RNAcentral is "bacterial SSU rRNA". It matches the Rfam family "Bacterial small subunit ribosomal RNA", at positions 28 to 422 of the family's 1533-position model. The record is from RNAcentral.
GAUGAACGCUGGCGGCGUGCUUAACACAUGCAAGUCGAACGAAGAUGCCGGAGUGCUUGCACUUUGGCAGACUGAGUGGCGGACGGGUGAGUAACGCGUGGGUAACCUGCCUUAUACAGGGGGAUAACAGUUGGAAACGACUGCUAAUACCGCAUAAGCGCACGGUAUCGCAUGAUACAGUGUGAAAAACUCCGGUGGUAUAAGAUGGACCCGCGUCUGAUUAGCUAGUUGGUGGGGUAACGGCCUACUAAGGCGACGAUCAAUAGCCGACCUGAGAGGGUGACCGGCCACAUUGGGACUGAGACACGGCCCAAACUCCUACGGGAGGCAGCAGUGAGGAAUAUUGGUCAAUGGACGAGAGUCUGAACCAGCCAAGUAGCGUGAAGGAUGAAGGUCCUACGGA